Molecule: long non-coding RNA, 5751 nt
Organism: Homarus americanus (American lobster)
Lineage: Eukaryota; Metazoa; Arthropoda; Malacostraca; Decapoda; Nephropidae
Exons: 2
Source: RefSeq, a predicted model, not a curated record
UGUAUAAUAUAUUGUCAAUAUGUAAAAUAAACUUCAGAAUGACCAAUAAUUGUACUGUAAAAACGUAAAAAUAGUUUAUGUUCAAGAGAGUCUCAAGCAAGAUGCUUCCUCCACUGAGCUGGGACACACUGUCGCCACUUCGGGUGAGUCAAGUGGCUGUUUGGCGUGCUAAAAACUAGUUCCCUGUACUUCAAUUAUGUUAAAUAAUUGUUAAAAUGACUAAAAAUUUUAAUAUCAGACUUGGAAAAUUAUUGAAUAGUACAACCUUCUUGAUAUUUACUCAAAUGGAAACGAGUUUAAGCCCUAGAACCGAUUACUGUAUUGGCGGACUAAUAGUACAGUUGAUGAGCAGCCGAAAGCAGGCGAAAACAUGUUGGGAAAAAUUUGUAAGGAAUUCAUUAACCGAAAUGUUUUCGUUAACCGAAGUGAAGAUUCUUAUGGAAGGUAAUUCGUUAACCAAAAUAUCGUUAACCGAGGCGUUCGUAAACCGAGGAACCACUGUACUUGGAGUGAUAAGUAGUCAUCAUGCUUAACAAUUGAUGAGUGAACUGGUAAAUCAUACAUACGAGUAUAUAUAUAAUUCCAGUAUGAUUAUAGGCGUUAUAACUACAUGUGAUCAAAUUAUAACUUACAAGAGGUUAUAUUAGGAGGUUCAAAGACAUUACCGGACUGCUAUAUUAGAAGAAGUCAUAUUAGGUGGUUCAAAAAUGCUGCUAUAUUAAAAGAGGUCUUAUUAGGGGACUGAAGUUGCCAUGACGCUGUUUUUAGAACCUUUACUUGUACUUGUGUGAAGCUGCUUAUGGGGUCUGACAGCAAGUGAAAACACCAACUUUGGAUCUAAGAACUUAACAAAAUUUUCAGGAGUGAUGGUGAAAUAUAUGUCUCCAAAACACCUAAAUUUUUGUUUAGAUGUUGGAGUUAAAAAUUGGCACAGUAUUUGUUUUAUUUUUUAAAGGGGGACUUAUAAACAUCUCCUCACACAUACACAAACAGGUUCCCAAAAAACAAAAUCAUGUCAACUUUAAAACCCUAAGCAUUUUUUACCUUAUUGAUAAUGAUGGUGUCAUUCUUGAACGACUUUAGCUUAAACCAUCAUCCUAAAAGGGUUAUAACUUACAGGUAUACAUUAAACCAUCAUCCUAAAAGGGUUAUAGCUCGAACCAUUGCCCUAUAAGAGUUAUAACUUAAACCAUCGCCCUCUGAGAGUUAAUAAUCAAACCAUCAUCCUCAAAGGGUUAUAUAUUAUACAGUACUCGGGAUCUGAGGUAAAUUUGAAGAUGUACGGCGUGAGUACUGACAGUCUCUCGUGUGUGUAAGUUGAGCCAGGAAGUUGGCCAUAUAGACGCCUAACAUUCUCAGAUGUAAUAUUAUGCUAACUUUUGAUAAUUAACCUUGACAUUUUUGGAGUCCAGAUCUCAUUUAAUUUCUGAUAGUGACGUGCCAAACAUAAGUAUGACAAAUCUUUAACAUAGAUAUUUUUUUUAAUUGAGAUUAACAUUUAUACUGAAAUACUCACCUUUUGAGAUUAACAUAAUACUUCGUGAUACUUAUACUUUGAGAUUAAGACAUGUUUACGAUACUCACGUAAUCUUUAAUUAAUGUCUCGUUUUGAUAUUACAUAAUUCGCUGUGAUUGUUUAUAUUUAACUAUAGUAGACAGUUAAAGAAUCUCAUACUUUAUGUCUGCAUAUUAUGAAUACUCUCGUCUUGCUGCAUAAUAUAUUAAUCAGUUCAUUUUGUUUUUGUUCGUCUCAUGUUCUCGCGUGUUCUGGCACUGGGCAACAUUGGCCUUUGUCAUGUCGGUCCAAACACUGAAUCUCUGAGAAAAAAAAAAGAUAUUGAAUGUUGUCCCUUUUUUUUAUAAUAACAAAAAAGGUUUGUUUAUAUAAUGUUUUGUAAUGGGUGUAUGAAAGUUACGUUCCUGCCAAAGAUUGAGGAUUUAACGCUAAUUGUGAACAUUAAUAUGAAUCACAGCGCCAGAUACACACUAUGUUGAGUAUUGCCUAAAUGAUUGAAUCUCUUCCCUCCCUUGGUUAACAUCAGGUCCUUAGCCAGAUGGGGUCUAAAGAGCCUGAUGGAUUAACCAGCUCUUAUGAAACAAUUUGCAUAUGUGAAGUGGUAUAGUUAGUUGUUGAACAUAGACUGUAUGUACUUUGUAGCUAGACUGAGUGAGGUUAUCAGUUAUCUUCAGUACAAUUCAAUCUGGUUCAUCCAUUAGGAACACAAUUUAACACAAACAACUUUUGAUAUAUAUGUCUUGCCUCAUUUUUGUCACACUCACCUUAAAUUAACCUGGCUAUGGCUCUGAAUGUAGGGAAAUAAUGUCCUGAAUCAUGUUUAUGUUCAGGAGUGGAGAAAUGUCUGUUAGGAGGAGCCCUGUGUAGUGUAUGACGGAGGGCUAAAUGAUGUUACUUAACUAGAAGAGAGAGGCCUGUUGCUUCUUCCUCAUUAUAUGUUAAAAAGAAAUGUCUCCAAAUGCUUUUCAUUCAGGGAUUUAGAAGUCUUAUCCCAUGUUAUUUUAUGAUCUUGUAUUAAAAAAGUUAUAAAUAUUGGGCUGACUCCAUGAUCAGUCUGUUAGAUCUUAUUAUGGCAGGAUUGAGGGGGUAGGGAUGUGUACACUUAAGCCCCCUACCACCACCCUACCCCCUCCUCCAUCUGUCCCCACUAGAUUUACCUUUGAUAUUAUACCUGAAACACACAAACCCUUAAUCACUACAUGAGUGAUGACUUUUUACAGAAUCUCACUUUACUACAUUUCUAUAUAACAGUAGUCAAUUUAUUACUAAUAUUAGACGUCAUCUGUGUUUUAUACCCGUGUGUGUGUGUGUGUGUGUGUGUGUGUGAGAGAAGACUAUAUAUGGAAGACUUUGUGUGUACAGUAUUGCAUCUGUAUCAUACUAGGAAAUGACACUACAUGUUUUAACUUGGCUAAAAUGUCCUUUUUUAAAUACGAGAGCAUAAUAACAUGUCUAGCGUACCAGGGUGAUGGAAGUCAACUGUAGUGGUGUGGGAGUAUGUGAGUUUAAAUGAGAUAUCUAUAAAUCAAAUUACUGUACUAUCAUUAAGAAUGUUAUUGAGCUGUAAUAUAUCUCGCUAACAUCGUACUGUACGAUCAUGUUGUAGAUGUUGACAUGGAUGGAUAUAUUUGGACCUCUGUUUACACCAUAUAGCAAGAGUGAUGGUAGCCCCUUCCUUUCUGGUUCUGAGGCCAGUAUGUUAUGUUAUUCAGCUACUGUAAUGACCAUGCUAUUGAUUUAUCAUUAUUAUUAUUAUUAUUAUUAUUAUUAUUAUUAUUAUUAUUAUUAUUAUUAUUAUUAUUAUUAUUAUUAUUUGUGAUUAUUAUUAUUGUUGUGAUUAUUAUUAGACAUAAAUUAAGACAGGAUUAAUUAAAGAUUUCAUUGUUGUACCAGAUACUGUAUUACAUUCUAUACUGUAUUAUGACUAAAAUACAGUAGACUUGAUUACCUGCAGAAGUUGACAGUAAACCUCUGGCAGAUAUGUUAAGAUAAUUUUGUUGAUGAUUAAUGGCCUGUUGUGCAUAGUUAACAAGACAGAAAACUAAAAUACAGUUAUUGUUUGUUAAAUAUGUGAUGAAUAUAAUAGUAAUACUAGAAAUGUGUUCAUUAUGUACAUUAAACACAACUGAUGUCAAGGUAAUACUAGAGAUGUGUUCAUUAUGUACAUUAAACACAAACUGACGUCAAGGUAAUACUAGAGAUGUGUUCAUUAUGUGGUAAUGCCAUAACCAAUGUGUUUGUUGUAAUUUCUCAUCUUCACAAACAUCUACACCUGACAUCUUGGCUCACAUAUAGACAGGUGCGUACAUUGUAAUUACUGGCUAACAUCGCAUUUCCUCUCACCUAAACACAUCACAACAUAAAUAUCAGAGCACUUUUACCCUUAACACAUCAUAACACAACACAGUAUUUUCACACUUAAACACAUCACAACACAAAUAACACAACAUUUUCACACAUAAACACAUCACAACACAAAUAACACAACAUUUUCACACAUCACAACACAAAUAACACAACAUUUUCACACAUAAACACAUCACAACACAAAUAACACAACAUUUUCACACAUAAACACAUCACAACACAAAUAACACACCUUCAGUCUUACCAACAAGCACAAGACAGAUCUUAUUAAGGUUAAAACAUCACAAAGGUUGAAUAAAAAUUAAUCAUUUAACAUUACAUAUAAAAUCUAUUCUGAACUGUUACUAUUUGAUGAUAAUUAAUUGAAAGGGCAAAAUUAUGUUGGGAGACGACUUUUUGUAUUUAUUUAUGAAUUUAGGUAAUUGAUAAUCUUGUUUUCUGUUGUUUAUAAGAGUAAAGAAGAAAAAUAUUGUGGAAGUGAUUUAUUACAAGGGAUAGGUGCGUGUCCAAAUACAGUGCAUAUCCUCAUCAAGUGCAUUUCUAGGUACAUGAUAGAAUAGGUGCGUGUCCGAUUUAGUACGUAUUACAAUAUUGAAGAGUGGAUUUUUUUUUAUUUGGUGCGUGUCCUGAUAUGCGUGUCUUAGUAUUGUGCGUAUCUCUGUAUGGUAGACUAUGUAAAUUGUGGUAGGAUAGAUUUUGAGUAUGUCCUGGUAUAUCUAGACAUGGAAUGUAUCCUAGUAGAGUUAGACAUGGUACGUGUCCUAGUAUAGUUAGACAUGGUAUGUGUCCUAGUAUAGUUAGACAUGGUACGUGUCCUAGUAGAGUUAGACAUGGUACGUGUCCUAGUAUAGUUAGACAAGGUAUGUGUCCUAGUAUAGUUAGACAUGGUACGUGUCCUAGUAUAGUUAGACAUGGUACGUGUCCUAGUAUAGUUAGACAUGGUACAUGUCCUAGUAUAGUUAGACAAGGUAUGUGUCCUAGUAUAGUUAGACAUGGUACGUGUCCUAGUAUAGCUAAACAUGGUACACGUCCUGAUAUAACUAGACAUGGUAUGUUUCCUAAUAUAGGUAGCCAUAGUGUGUGUCCUGGUAUAGUUAGACAGUGUGUCCUGGUAUUGAUAGGAAUGUAUCCUGGUAUAAGUAGUCAUAAUACGUGUCCUGGUAUAGGUAGGUACAUAUCCUGGUAUAGUUAGACAUGGUACUUGUCCUGGUAUAGGUAGGUAUGUAUCCUGGUAUAGUUAGACAUGGUACUUGUCCUGGUAUAGUUAGACAUGGUAUUUGUCCUGGUAUAGUUAGACAUGGUACUUGUCCUGGUAUAGGCAGGUGCAUAUCCUGGUAUAGUUAGACAUGGUACUUGUCCUGGUAUAUGACUGUCACUCGCCCUGGUACAGCUAGAUGGUGUUCAGGUGGACACAAGUGGUGCUACCGUUAAUAACUCUCUCUACUAACGUGCUCUCUCUCUCUCUCUCUCUCUCUCUCUCAGUGUGGGAGCUGGUCGUUUUGCUCGUCUCAUCCUAAAGUUGUCGUCCUUGAGGGGGUCGUGAAGAAGGAACUAAGUCAUUCCUGUUGACCUCUCUCUUGAUGUCAUGGGUGGGUUGUGGGUCGUCUGGGAGGGACUGAGUCGUUCUUGUUCCCCCCCCCCCCUCUUGUCGUGAAGUAAGGACCGAGUCGUUGUAGUCGUCCUUCUACCAUUCUCACAUUGUCGUCACUCAAUGGUGUUAGAAACAGAUAGUGUGUGUUUCUCUCUCUCUUGUAAAUAGUUCUAACUUGUUGUGGUGAGGCUGUUGGUCCCUGUGCAUGUAUAUAUGUGAAUAUUUGUACAAUGUUUUAUGUAAUUUAUUUAUGUUAACAAUAAAAGUCUGACAGUCA